UGACUGAUUGUUAUUGGGAGAGGUUGGAA
Molecule: non-coding RNA, 29 nt
Filed under: Rattus norvegicus (Norway rat)
Lineage: Eukaryota; Metazoa; Chordata; Mammalia; Rodentia; Muridae
Source: RNAcentral